This 319-nucleotide ribosomal RNA is filed under the name uncultured eukaryote. RNAcentral describes it as "partial 18S ribosomal RNA". It matches the Rfam family "Eukaryotic small subunit ribosomal RNA", at positions 1470 to 1796 of the family's 1831-position model. The record is from RNAcentral.
CCCUUAGAUGUCCUGGGCCGCACGCGUGCUACACUGACGCCUACAGCGAGUACUUCCCAGCCCCGAGAGGUGGCUGGUAAUCAGCAAUAGGCGUCGUGAUGGGGAUAGAUCUUUGGAAUUAUGGAUCUUGAACGAGGAAUGCCUAGUAAGCGCAGGUCAUUAGCCUGCGUUGAUUAAGUCCCUGCCCUUUGUACACACCGCCCGUCGCUCCUACCGAUUUCGAGUGGUCCGGUGAAUCUUUCGGACUGCGCGCGGCUUCGUGCCGUGUCGCGGAAAGUCAGGUAAGCCUUAUCACUUAGAGGAAGGAGAAGUCGUAACA